This 384-nucleotide ribosomal RNA is filed under the name uncultured bacterium. Its description in RNAcentral is "bacterial SSU rRNA". It matches the Rfam family "Bacterial small subunit ribosomal RNA", at positions 28 to 413 of the family's 1533-position model. The record is from RNAcentral.
GACGAACGCUGGCGGCGUGCUUAACACAUGCAAGUCGAGCGGUAAGGCCCUUUCGGGGGUACACGAGCGGCGAACGGGUGAGUAACACGUGGGUGACCUGCCCUCAGCUCUGGGAUAAGCCUGGGAAACCGGGUCUAAUACCGGAUAUGACUCCAUGACGCAUGUUGUGGGGUGGAAAGCCUUGUGCGGCUGAGGAUGGGCCCGCGGCCUAUCAGCUUGUUGGUGGGGUGANGGCCUACCAAGGCGACGACGGGUAGCCGGCCUGAGAGGGCGACUGGCCACACUGGGACUGAGACACGGCCCAGACUCCUACGGGAGGCAGCAGUCGGGAAUUUUGGGCAAUGGGCGAAAGCCUGACCCAGCAACGCCGCGUGAAGGAUGAAA